This 468-nucleotide ribosomal RNA is filed under the name uncultured bacterium. Its description in RNAcentral is "partial 16S ribosomal RNA". It matches the Rfam family "Bacterial small subunit ribosomal RNA", at positions 28 to 507 of the family's 1533-position model. The record is from RNAcentral.
GACGAACGCUGGCGGCGUGCUUAACACAUGCAAGUCGAACGGAAAGGCCCUGCUUUUGUGGGGUUCUCGAGUGGCGAACGGGUGUGUAACACGUGAGUAACCUGCCCUUGUCUUUGGGAUAACUUCAGGAAACUGGGGCUAAUACCGGGGAGGAUCUCCUGCUGCACGGGGGGGGUUGGAAAGUUUCGGCGGUUCGGGCUGGACUCGCGGCUUAUCAGCUUGUUGGUGGGGUAGUGGCUUACCAAGGCUUUGACGGGUAGCCGGCCUGAGAGGGUGACCGGCCACAUUGGGACUGAGAUACGGCCCAGACUCCUACGGGAGGCAGCAGUGGGGAAUAUUGCACAAUGGGCGGAAGCCUGAUGCAGCAACGCCGCGUGCGGGAUGACGGCCUUCGGGUUGUAAACCGCUUUCGCCUGUGACGAAGCGUGAGUGACGGUAAUGGGUAAAGAAGCACCGGCUAACUACGUG